GCUGAACAGGUGAAGAAGAAAAAGAAAGACGAGAUGUGGGAUCCGGCUAUCCGAGAGGAUCUUUCCUGAACAAUGGAGGGAGCAGGACCGCGGGUAGCGCGACAACGUGGAAGCACGGACUGCACAGCCCUAACACUACAGACUCCCUAAUGUUCUGUGCCUCUUGGAAACAGUGUUGGCUUGAGAGGGAUUAUACUAUCUGUGAUUACCUGGUCAAGGAAUAUUCUUGCCAACGGAGCACAGUCAGUGGACCUGAUGAACCGUACAACAUCUGCCACACUCCACUUCAGUGGAUUACUGUCCAGGUG
Acomys russatus (golden spiny mouse) is the source of this 308-nucleotide long non-coding RNA. RefSeq lists it as uncharacterized. Lineage: Eukaryota; Metazoa; Chordata; Mammalia; Rodentia; Muridae. The transcript has 3 exons. The record is from RefSeq and is a predicted model, not a curated record.